This 468-nucleotide ribosomal RNA is filed under the name uncultured bacterium. RNAcentral describes it as "partial 16S ribosomal RNA". It matches the Rfam family "Bacterial small subunit ribosomal RNA", at positions 28 to 507 of the family's 1533-position model. The record is from RNAcentral.
GACGAACGCUGGCGGCGUGCUUAACACAUGCAAGUCGAACGGAAAGGCCCUGCUUUUGUGGGGUGCUCGAGUGGCGAACGGGUGAGUAACACGUGAGUAACCUGCCCUUGUCUUUGGGAUAACUUCAGGAAACUGGGGCUACUACCGGAUAGGAGCUCCUGCUGCAUGGAGGGGGUUGGAAAGUUUCGGCGGUUGGGGAUGGACUCGCGGCUUAUCAGCUUGUUGGUGGGGUAGUGGCUUACCAAGGCUGUGACGGGUAGCCGGCAUGAGAGGGUGACCGGGCACAAGAGGACUGAGAGACGCCGCAGUCUCGUACGGGGGGCAGCAGUGGGGAAUAUUGCACAAUGGGCGGAAGCCUGGUGCAGCAGCGCCGCGUGCGGGAUGACGGCCUUCGGGUUGUGAACCGCUUUCGCCUGUGACGCAGCGUGAGUGACGGUAAUGGGUAAAGAAGCACCGGCUAACUACGUG